RNAcentral lists this ribosomal RNA (208 nucleotides) under uncultured bacterium. RNAcentral's name for it is "partial 16S ribosomal RNA". It matches the Rfam family "Bacterial small subunit ribosomal RNA", at positions 568 to 775 of the family's 1533-position model. The record is from RNAcentral.
CGUGUAGGUGGUUCGGAAAGUCGGAUGUGAAAGUCCGGAGCUCAACUCCGGAAGUGCAUCCGAUACUCUCGAGCUCGAGUCUCGGAGAGGAAGGCAGAAUUCCCAAUGUAGGGGUGAAAUCCGUAGAUAUUGGGAGGAAUACCGGUGGCGAAGGCGGCCUUCUGGACGAUGACUGACACUGAGACGCGAAAGCGUGGGGAGCAAACAG